Molecule: non-coding RNA, 168 nt
Organism: Pelobates cultripes (western spadefoot toad)
Lineage: Eukaryota; Metazoa; Chordata; Amphibia; Anura; Pelobatidae
Source: the annotation of a GenBank genome assembly
ACCCAUGCAGUAACUAUCCAGUAGGAGGCUCUUACCUAUAAAUUCAGGUGGUGACUUUUUUUUUUUUCGCCAGGCAGUGUGUGUGUGUGUGUGUGUAUAUACACAAAAAAAAAGUCACCACCUGAAUUUAUAGGUAAGAGCCUCCUACUGGAUAGUUACUGCAUGGGU